Molecule: long non-coding RNA, 776 nt
Filed under: Amazona collaria (yellow-billed parrot)
Lineage: Eukaryota; Metazoa; Chordata; Aves; Psittaciformes; Psittacidae
Description: lncRNA (ENSACOG00000000677.1)
Source: RNAcentral
AUGCUUACUGCAGGCUUUGGCAGCGCGGACGCAGAGCUCCUCGGCCGUGUACUCGCCGAAGGUGAAGGUGAGGACACCAGGAGCGCCGGGGGGGCACCCGGUGGUACAGGUACACUUGGAGGGUGCCAGUCUCAGUGGAGGAGAGGCUGCAGGAGCGCUCCCCGAUCAGCGGGGUCUCCUCACCCAGCGGGGCCAUGGUGGGGGCUGCAAGGACAGGGGGGACGCAGCUGUGACCCUCACCCCCCUCCCCAUCAAUUUCCAUCUGCGUCCUCCCUGGGAUCAAACCCAGUCACCAGGCCUGCAGCAUCUCCAUUGCUGGGGUCAGCCUGUCCUGGGGAGGAUGAAGGGGAAACUGAGGCACGCAGCCUGUUCCGCAGGCAUGGGGAUAAACCCACCAACCCCAGCUGCUGUCUUUGUCCCCAGGCCCUGAAUCGAUCCCAGGAAUGGGCAGGAGGACUCAGCUUCAUCUCCGUGCUCAGCUGGGCUGGAUGGACCUCAUGGAGCCCCCUGGGCUGGUCACCAUGGGGCUGGUGCAUGCCUGGUCCCUGUGCCGUGCAGCAUCGCACGUACCCGCUGACGGAUGUGGCUGGGCCCAGCAGCCACCGCUCGUUGUUUUUCCCUUUUCUGCUGCUCUAACCAGCUCAGCAAGGAGGCAAAGCCAAGGGUGAGGAGGGAAGGGGGUCCCUGGGGACACAGGCUGGGGACAAGGCCACAAGCUGGGUUCAAAUCCCAGGGACCAGGGGCUCUCCUCUGCCUCCAUGCUCAGUGAUGCCCCG